Molecule: long non-coding RNA, 454 nt
Filed under: Takifugu rubripes (torafugu)
Lineage: Eukaryota; Metazoa; Chordata; Actinopteri; Tetraodontiformes; Tetraodontidae
Description: lncRNA (ENSTRUG00000030766.1)
Source: RNAcentral
UUUUUGUUUUUUUUUAUACCAGAACUAUGCAGAUGAAACAAAGCUGAACCUUUUGUUUCUGCCAGAUGAAGGAAUAGACAUUAGAGCAGUGGAACUCUGAGUCCCAAUUUGAUAUCGCUGGUUCCACCUGCGGCAUCUUGGUGUGAUGCAGAAAAGUUGGAUCACUGCUUUUUGAAGAGGACAGCGAGGUCGUCAACGGUCCCAAAGGAGUUCCCAGAGACGCUGAGCACAUGUUGGCCCUUUUGCAUUACACUGCGGCCCAGCUCAUCCGAAACCAUCUUGAUUGGGUUUAGGUCAGAGUAGACCCAACAGAGCCCGACUGGCUGUUGGCCUAAUGACAUAAUGAGAUAAGAGCUGCACGUAAGCGGAGGCUCCAUCUGGCUCAGUCCAACUCUUUUGGACACUGUCCCUUUUGCUUGUGCAAUAAAGUUCAGUGAAAAUGUGAAAAAACGAC